GAUGAACGCUGGCAGCGUGCCUAAUACAUGCAAGUCGAGCGAACGGACGAGAAGCUUGCUUCUCUGAUGUUAGCGGCGGACGGGUGAGUAACACGUGGAUAACCUACCUAUAAGACUGGGAUAACUUCGGGAAACCGGAGCUAAUACCGGAUGAUAUUUUGAACCGCAUGGUUCAAAAGUGAAAGACGGUCUUGCUGUCACUUAUAGAUGGAUCCGCGCUGCAUUAGCUAGUUGGUAAGGUAACGGCUUACCAAGGCAACGAUGCAUAGCCGACCUGAGAGGGUGAUCGGCCACACUGGAACUGAGACACGGUCCAGACUCCUACGGGAGGCAGCAGUAGGGAAUCUUCCGCAAUGGGCGAAAGCCCGACGGAGCAACGCCGCGUGAGUGAUGAAGGUCUUCGGAUCGUAAAACUCUGUUAUUAGGGAAGAACAUAUGUGUAAGUAACUGUGCACAUCUUGACGGUACCUAAUCAGAAAGCCACGGCUAACUACGUG
RNAcentral lists this ribosomal RNA (497 nucleotides) under uncultured bacterium. RNAcentral's name for it is "partial 16S ribosomal RNA". It matches the Rfam family "Bacterial small subunit ribosomal RNA", at positions 28 to 507 of the family's 1533-position model. The record is from RNAcentral.